This 200-nucleotide ribosomal RNA is filed under the name uncultured bacterium. RNAcentral describes it as "partial 16S ribosomal RNA". It matches the Rfam family "Bacterial small subunit ribosomal RNA", at positions 8 to 219 of the family's 1533-position model. The record is from RNAcentral.
AGAGUUUGAUCCUGGCUCAGCCUGAACGCUGGCGGCGUGGCUAAGACAUGCAAGUCGAACGGUGUAGCAAUACACAGUGGCGAACGGGUGAGUAAUGUAUCGCUAACGUGCCCCGGACUCUGGGAUAGCUACUCGAAAGGGUAGGUAAUACCAGAUGAUAUGACUGGAUCGCAUGAUCCGGUCCUCAAAGGUCCGCUGGU